RNAcentral lists this ribosomal RNA (371 nucleotides) under uncultured bacterium. Its description in RNAcentral is "bacterial SSU rRNA". It matches the Rfam family "Bacterial small subunit ribosomal RNA", at positions 527 to 896 of the family's 1533-position model. The record is from RNAcentral.
AUGGGGUGCAAACGUUGCUCGGAAUCAUUGGGCGUAAAGCGCGCGUAGGCGGUUACUUAAGUUGGAUGUGAAAGCCCUCGGCUUAACCGAGGAAGUGCACCCAAAACUGAGUAGCUUGAGUACUAAAGAGGGUCGCGGAAUUCCCGGUGUAGAGGUGAAAUUCGUAGAUAUCGGGAGGAACACCGGUGGCGAAGGCGGCGACCUGGGUAGAGACUGACGCUGAGGCGCGAAAGCGUGGGGAGCAAACAGGAUUAGAUACCCUGGUAGUCCACGCCGUAAACGAUGGGUGCUAGAUGUUUCUGGUAUUGACCCCGGAGGCGUCGUAGCUAACGCGUUAAGCACCCCGCCUGGGGAGUACGGCCGCAAGGCUA